UAUUCAUUACUAUUUUAUUGUUGGUUUUUAAUCCCACUUUUAACACACUUGGCUAUAUAGUCAGUAUUCAUUUGUAGAUGAGGACCAUGCACUACUUAAUUUCCUCAGAAAAACAGUCAAUUAAGAUACAAGUCCAACUCACCUUGCAACAAAGGGUGUUCAAACCUCAGACUAUUAUUUAAUGUCCUAGUUCAAACUCACAACCACUGCGUAAGAGGUCCAAUGAUCAUUUCUGAAAUGAGAAAGUUUGAUGUAAUAAAAUGAUGUAAUUUUAAAUACUCUUUGUUCUUAAUUUCAGGUGGAAAUAAUCGGUCAAAAGAAUCUGGAUCGUCAUGUUGGCCCCCAUGUAGUGUUGGCCCUGAUCCUAACUCUCCUGAUCCUGAGAAUGCAAGAAGCCUUCUAAAGAAAAACGCUGAUAAAAAGAAUGAGGAGAAGCCUGUUGCAGUUGUAAGAUCACAACCACCCAAGAAUCGGCAUGUAAAGACAGACAACACUGAAAGUACAAGGUAUUCCGCUGAAACUGAAAUAUUUGAUGAGGGGGUACAUAAAAGUGCAAAACCACGUCCACUUCCUUCUAUUGGCCAGCCUACCAACUCUCCUAGACCAUUGCCACAGAUGCCUCCAAGUUCUCAACUAGAGAAGGGUGGUAUUCAACUGGAACCUUUAGGGGAUUCUACUUCUGAGAGAAAGAAGAAAAAGAAAAGAAAGAAGAAGGAAACAAAGCAAUCUGAUGAGGAGUAUUAAACUAUAUCCUAACACAAGCCUAUGCAUGAAGCGUGAUAAAGUGUAGAUUGUUAGUUUUACAUGAAUAUUCAUCAUACUUUAAUAUAAACAAGUAAUUAACUACCACAUUUUGACAUUUGUCUAAUUGGAAUCUCAUUUUAAGAUAAUUUUUUCACUACCUGCAGGAUCCUCUUCAAGAUGAAAGAGUGUUUAAAGAGAAGGUGAUACCGUCCAAUAAUACUAGCAGCUUGAUUCAUUUAUAUUUUGUUUGAAUUAUCUUGAUAUAUGUUUUUUUUUAGAUAUGCAGAUAUGUUUAAGUUGAGAAGUUGUAUAUAUAAAUCAAAGUAACACUACCUUAAAAAAUUAUCAGAGACACCUAGAUAUUUAUGAUUUUCAGAAUGUGAAUGGAACAGUACAAAUUUCAUUAAUGUUUAUUAUAUAUAUAUAUACAUAAAUAUUUUAUGAGAAACAAAACUUUUGUUGGAUGGUAUACACUACUAUAUAUCUCAUGGCUGUCAUUCAUUAUUUUAAUUACUGUGAAUUCAGAAAUUAUUGCGAGGUUUUUAUUAUUGCGAAAAAUGCGACAGAGUUGCAAACGCAAUAAUUUAAACUCUCAUUUUGAAGUAUUUUAUAUGAAUUAACCAGGAUUUUUCUCAAAAUCGUAAAAAUUAAAAUCGCAAUUAAGUCUGAAAUGACAAUAUCCCAAUAAUAAAUGCAUGCAAUAAUUUCUGAAUUUAUAGUAUUUUUUUUAAAGUAUCGUUAUUGAUGAUUCUUCAUUUAAUCUUAGUCAAAAUAUUUUUAAGUAAUCAAAAGGUGAUAAAAAAAACAUUGGCUUUAUCAUCUAUCAUUUCAAACCUUUUUAUAGAAGAGCCAAUAGUCAUCUAUAUAGAAUAAAAUUGAAACAUGAACUAAAUUUCAACAAUACAAAAGCUUCUGUAGAAAAAAAAUCACUCUGAAACCACUUUAAAGGUCCCACCUUUAUGAUCACUUAUUUAAAAUUCAAUAUUGGGAUAAAACAUUAAUAUAUGAAUCCCUGACUUUAAUAUAAAGGUUUGAAACCAGUAGAUAUCCUCUGAUAUGACCCCUCUAAAUUCUACAGGGCCUUUUCUAGUAGUGUUUUUAUUGGAAUUUAAUUUUAUUUAACAGUCCAACUUUAAAGUCAUGUUCCCUGUGCUGAAGGAAUUGAUUAGGAUAUGGAGAUAUUAGAACAAAAAAUAUGAAAUUUAGGGGAUGUUUUAUAAUUGCCUUGAAGACAGUUGUCCAUAGAACAAAAAAUGAGACUGUGAACAACUAAGCCCUGGUGACCAAUACAGAUUUAAUUUUCAAAUAGUGCUAAUUUCUAUAAAGUGUCUUAAGAGGUCACAACAACCAUUUGUAGUAUUUUAUUUUGCUGUUUGUAAAACAUUGUUUUUAUUUUAUAAACAUUCCAUCUUUUGUACAAGAAUUAACUUUUAACAUACUUGUCAUGCUUGUUGAAAUUUUUUGUUUACUAACUUUACCAGGCUUGUAUCUAUUUUGGUGUUUAAGAAUAUAUUGUAUUCUGUUGAUGUGCCAUGUUUUUAUUACUUUUGAAGAUUUUGUUAUAAAAUGUGCUUAAUAACAAAUAAUUUUGUCUGAAAUAGAAUGUAAAGCGUGUGUACUUCAGCCUUAUUUAAUAUGUACAAUAGUUACCCUUUUUGUUAUCAUACUUAUAUCUGGUAGUUUUACAAUUGAUAGUAUUAUUAAUUUAUUUUAUAAGGGUUGUUUAAAAUAAGGUAGCUUGGGUGUCUAAAUGCUCGAUACAGAUAUUUUUGAUACUUAAAUCUUAAAAUUUCCAGUUAUUUUUGUUGAAAAUUGAAUGAUUCCAUAAAAUAUUUUUUGAAAAGUGUUUUUGCAACUUGCCCAGAAGGGAAGCUCAGACAAUGACACCCAAUCUUAAAGAGUUUUUGAGUGUAUGAGGGGGGUGGUGUGGUUUGCUUGUAGAUUUUAGAAAAAAUACUGUUCUGAUGAGUUAUACUGAUUUACUUAUGUCUGUCAUGUGUACAAUAUUAAGCUGUUUUCUAUAUUUUUUAAGGCAAAACUGCUUGAAAUUUAGUAUUUAGCAGCAUCUGAGUUAGCAAAUUUAAAAUCUUGUUCACAAAUAAUUUUUUGAAAUAUUGUCUUUUUUACUUGAUUGCAAGCCUUAUCUCAGAUUAUUUUAAUUUUCCAUGUUUAAAGUAAUCCUGCUUAUAAUAUUACAAUGACUAUUAUAGCUAAACAUAAAUUUGUGCAUAUAAUCCAAUUUAUGAAUAAUAUAUGUGGCAAUUUUGACAUAUUUAGAUUGACUAGAUUUGAUCCUAAGUCAUACACAUUUUGUUGAAAAAUAUAGACAUAAUCUGUUAGCUGAAUAUUAAUUGUAAAAGAAAGAUUUGAUAUAAGUUUGCAUUUUGUUUAAGUGUUUGUGUUUCUUUUUCUCAUUGCUUGGAUUGUAUACAAUGCAGUAUUUUCCUUAGAUAUUUUUUUAUGUUUUACAGUGAAGGGAUAACAGAAUUUAUAUUCGAGACAUCAGUUAUCAUCUUGUAAUUUCAAAAAGUGUUAUACAAUGUAUCCGUACAGUUAAUAUUUUUUAAUUUCAUCAUCACGGCUGUUCAAAUAAUCCAUAAGAAUCUCAAUAUUUUAUGUCAAGAUCAUUUACGAUGUAUAGUUGUAAGGUUUAAGGAUAGUUUUGUUUUAGAAAGACAUUUUUUUUUAAACUGAAUUUGAAUCAAAUUUGAUUUUUCAUGAUACAUCAUAAUAUAGAUUAUAGGUGCAAGGGAGGUAAUUAAUAUAAAACUUAUCCUACUUGUUCUCAUAUUGAUCUUAAUUUUUGUUUUAAGAUCUAUAUUUUGAUUCUUAUUGAACUGAUUUAAAAUUAAAUUGAUAAGGUUUGAUAAAUUCAUCAUCCUGGUUGUGAUAACGAUACAUUGUACCUUACAAUUCUGUUAAAAAUGGUAUUUUGACUGUGAUAUUUUGAAGAAGCAGCAACUAUAUGCCUAGUCAAGAACUAUUUUAUUAUUAUUAAUUGAUCGGUAAAUUAUAUACGCAGAUAUAACUGUAUGAAAAUAUAUAUAAUCAGUUAUACUAUAUUUUUCUUGCGAUUUAAAGCAUUUUUUUUACUUAUAUAUAUUGUAUCAUACUUGAGUAUUGUUAGUUGUAAAGUUUACAAAUUUAAAUUCAUUAAUCAAAAGCAUUAUUCAAACUAAACCUUGAAAUCAUCAGGGUUCAUGUUAAGUUGAAAGGUUGACUUAGUUAUUUUGGUAAAUUUUCAAACUUUUUAUUUAUGAUUCAACUAUUUAUAUUUUCUGACUAAGAUCUGUUGCCAACACUGAACAUGUAACAUGAUCGUUGAUAUUUUAUUUAACAGCUAAAUUUAUACCAUGAAUUCAUCCGCUGUGUGAUUUAAAAUUUUUAUUUUAUAAAUUUUCAUUUCAUUACUAAUUGUAAUCUGUGUAACAUUUUCUUUAGAUAAUUAUAUCAAGGUAUCUAGACCGUGGCAGAAGUAGUGGUAAAAUAUUUAUAUUUUAGGCAACAAUAAAAAAUUAAACCAUUUGUUAAAACUCUAUAUCAGACAUCUCAAAAAUUCUGUUAAUCCUUUUUCCAAAUUAUAAAAUAAGAUUGGUAUUUCUGAAACAAACAAAAAAUAAAUUGCUAACGUUAUGGCAACUAUUCUUCAUAACAGUUCUUGUAAAAUUAUGGUCUAGGUACCUAAAGUAACAAAAAAUAUAUAACAUUGGGUUUGCUUUUAGUUUUAGUCCUGAUUUUCUAGUUUGUAACAACAAUUUUACAUUAUUAGUAUUUAC
This is a long non-coding RNA of Mytilus trossulus (common blue mussel), 4520 nucleotides long. RefSeq lists it as uncharacterized. The transcript is spliced from 4 exons. The record is from RefSeq and is a predicted model, not a curated record. NCBI's taxonomy places the organism in Eukaryota, Metazoa, Mollusca, Bivalvia, Mytilida, Mytilidae.